UGGGGUGUCAUCUAACGGUAGGAUAUCUGACUCUGACUCAGCUCAUCGCGGUUCGAAUCCGUGCACCCCAACCA
Molecule: transfer RNA, 74 nt
Filed under: Lachnospiraceae bacterium OttesenSCG-928-E19
Lineage: Bacteria; Bacillati; Bacillota; Clostridia; Lachnospirales; Lachnospiraceae
Description: tRNA-Gln
Rfam family: tRNA
About the family: Transfer RNA (tRNA) molecules are approximately 80 nucleotides in length.
Source: RNAcentral